This is a long non-coding RNA of Lepidothrix coronata (blue-crowned manakin), 503 nucleotides long. RefSeq lists it as uncharacterized. The record is from RefSeq and is a predicted model, not a curated record. NCBI's taxonomy places the organism in Eukaryota, Metazoa, Chordata, Aves, Passeriformes, Pipridae. The transcript is spliced from 3 exons.
CAGCAGCUCCUGCUGAACCGGUGGCUGCUGCCUAACGCUCUCCUGCCUCUCCCUCCUCUGCAGGUGUAUCCGUGACAUCCAGUAAUACAGGCGUGCCGGACAUCUCGGGCUCUGUCUACUCCAAAACUCAGCAAUCCUUCGAGAAGCAGGGAUUUCACACUGGAACCCCGGCAGCCUCCUUCAACCUGCCUUCGGCACUGGGCAGUGGUGGCCCCAUCAACCCUGCGACGGCGGCGGCGUAUCCCCCCACCCCCUUCAUGCACAUCCUGACCCCGCAUCAGCAGCCGCACUCGCAGAUCCUCCACCACCACCUGCAGCAGGACGGGCAGCUUCCAUAUUUGCAGAUGAUACUGUGCUGCCAACGCCAGCAGGAAGAUCAGGUAAUGAACUCUCUGAUAAUGCAUUGCACUUGCCCUGGGGUCUCCCCCUGCCCCUAAGGCUGCCCAGGCUCAAGUAGCCUCUUCCUUCUCCCCCGUGGCCGCACAAGGUGAGGACAGAGGCCC